This 5912-nucleotide long non-coding RNA is filed under the name Triticum aestivum (bread wheat). RNAcentral's name for it is "long non-coding RNA (TAES_LNC010328)". The record is from RNAcentral. Lineage: Eukaryota; Viridiplantae; Streptophyta; Magnoliopsida; Poales; Poaceae.
UGUGUGUGUGUGUGUGUGUGUGUGCUGUCUUUAGUACACACCCUCUUCCAUACACAUUUUCCUUUAACUAAAAUUAACUGCAACCUUUUCAGUUAACUCAAACAUUCAUUCUCUUCUCUGAACUGUUUGUUAUGUAAAACUGUCGUUGAUGAACUGUUGCUGCUAUGUCAAACUGUUGUUGUUGUAUGCUGCUACUACUGCAUUACUGUUUCUGCUGAUGUACUCAAUUAUUGUUUCUGCUAAUGUACUCAAUUACUGCUGAUGGAGUAUGUCAAAUUGCUGCUGCUAUGAAACAGUUUGAGUCAAAUUGAUGCUACUGCUGCUGCUACUCGAUUACUGCUUCUGGUCUUCUCAAUUACUCAAGUGAUCAAUUGAUUUGCAGGAGAAGGAGCAACAGCCAUGGAGUACUCCAGGAGCAGAUCAUGCCCAAAGGGACCACACCCAGGAGAUGGUCGUGGAUCAAACUGCUGCGCCCCGGGGCUGGUGCUUGUGAUGAGCGACGAGGAGAAGCAGGGACCUGGGAGCGCAUGGAUGAUGGAUGCGCGAAGGAUGAGCGCCUUGGACCUAGAUGAUGGAUUCGCCUGGGGCCUGGGAGCGACGGAGGAUGGACGCCUGGGAGUGCCGAGGAGAAGCGAUUUGAAAUCCUAGGAGCAAAGGGGGAAGACGACGAUGGGGAUAGCGAUUCAAAACAGGGGUAGCGUUGUAAAUUCCUUCAUUUCAAAACAGGGCCUCGAAAUGUUCUCUUCAACGCCAUAUAUUUCAAAACGGUGGGAGCAGUUUCAUGCCUAUAUUGAGCACCAUUGUGUCUCGCUCCCAUCACAAUUGAAUAUUUCUCCAUUGUAUUGUUAUCGUAUAUGAAUACGCAUGAUAAACCUGGAUUACUAUCGAUGCUUCAAAACAUUUGGACCGACACCCAUCAUACAAGUACUGCACAUGUUUCUACUGCUUUUGUACGCACAGAUCUAUUUAGCUAAGAAAAAAAAGGGCCCGCCAAAAAAUUGAAGUUCAGGACAGUCACAUAGUGUACUAGAGGCAAAAUGGUCUAUUUACCUCACACUGAACACCGUAAGUGACAAAAAUAGACUGAAAUGUCACCGAGGGAACAAAAUAAAGUUUUGAGUGUCAAAAUGGGAAGAACAAAUUGUUUUGGGCCAAAAAGGGAAGGGGAUUUUAAGAAUGGGACAAAAAGGGAAGGGGAUUUUAAGAAAGGCCAAAUAAAGAAUUCUCUCUCAAAUAUGCUACCACCCAAAAUGCACAGUAACAAAAUUGUGAGGCCCCUCAAGCGCUGUCAUGAACAACGUCCCACAAACACAAUGUCCAUACCAAAAAUCUACACCAUGUGACGAUUAUCAUGUGCCCAAACAGUGAUGAGAAAAUAAACAGAUAACUCUUGUUACAACUCUUGCCGCACAUGACUAACAAAAAUAAUAAGGCUAGUUUUUUUUUGCGUGUAAAAUAAUAAGGCUAGUGAAUAUAUUAAGUAGACUCGAAUUGUGAAGCGUCUUCAUAACAUGUGAGGCCAUACAUUAAUUUGCAGGUGCAGCUCCUGUAACCUCUGAUCUGCAUUUGCAAAACCAAUCUUUCAUCCAUUAGAGACAAAAUACUGGCACAAAAAUAGAAGACCGUCAUAAGAUGCUAACGAUGCUUGCUAUUCGAAUGAAGCUGUAACAAGAUCUCAAACGGAAGAAAAUAACAUCACCGUCACCUUAUAACAUACUCCCUCCGUUCAGAAAUAACAUAUUACAGGAGAUUAGUAAGCUAUGAAGGCCAUCUCCAAUGGACGUACGCUAAUUUAGAUGCACUCGCAUUUACAAUGCUAAGCACGUUAGCAUAGGCAAACUGCUGGUGUGGCAGCCACAACGUUGGGAUGAAAAAAAAUCCUUAUAACUAAUUAAAUACAUUACUUAUAAUAACUAAUUAAAUACAUUACUUAUAUAGAACCCAAUGCAUAAAAUACACAAGAAACAGACAGGCGCCAGGCACAAAAUUGAACGCCAGGUUUAGGGUGGAAAUAAAUUCUACACUAGCAAAACUACCGGGAUUAUUUCCCCUAGCAACAACCUUAAGCAUCCCAUUGGAGAUGGCCGAAGUGAUCAGAAGAGACGUGAGCACAUUUGUCCAUUCACAGCCUAGGACGUUCAUACAAAGAUUUAAAUCGCCGGCGAAAUCUGCCCGCGAUUUGCAUGGCUCGGUAAAUCGCCGGAGAUCGCGGCGCUAUCGCGGGCGAUUGUGCCAUUCCUUCGUUAACCGUCGCAGCAAAAAUCUCAGCUGCGAUUCACCUUCGCCCGCGAUUUUAAUCUAUGCGUUCAUACAUCCCAAUCCCACAAAACAAGAAAAUUAUUCUGAUAAAGCUUAACAUAACCAAGAAACCAGGCUCAACAUAACCAACAAACUAACAAGGUAUUGCAAUGUAAACAACUUUACACUAUACAAUAGCAUAUCAAAGAUUAAUCUUCUCUUUUUUCUCAAAAAAAUAAAUAAAUAAUCAUAACCCAUGCCAACAGGACUGUUGUUGAAUUAUAGUUCAGACAAGAUUGGUAUAUACUAUAUCUGAGGUGACAAGCUUAACAUCGCUUGAAAAUUCUUUCUAGUGAGUUAUCAUAGUAUAGCCAUAAGCCAAGCAUGCUGAACUGGCCAGAUCUUGUCAUAAGUUAUCUUCACCAUCACAUCCCCUAAUAUACACAGUUGUCAUAAAUGUUAACUACAAUGAUCAAAACAGUGGAUGCGAUCAUUUAACCAAUGACCACUGCAUUGACAGGUGUUCAAAUUGACCAUGUCAUCUCUAUUUAUACGUACUAAAUAAAAGCACACGAAAUAGCAGUCAUCUCCAACAAGCGACCAAAGGAGGGUUAGGUGGAUUGUGUAAUUGGUUGACUGGAACAGCAAGGAAGUCUCCUGGAGAGGCAAACAAACACAUCGCUCGAAUAAUUCUGAAGAUACCAAGCCAGACAAUGACAUAGCUAGCAUAAAUCCGUUUAGAACAAGGAUACAGGAUACAUGCCCAGUAGUGACAGCUAGUUGCGAGAACUGUGUCAGUGCACUGCAAGAACAUGUUGGAGAAAAUAACUGUACACAUUGAUUUUGUACAGUUUCGUAACCAUGAUUUUCUUAGCAACAGAACUCAAAAGUGUUAUUCUGGUCCACAAUGAUGCCAUGCAUGCCGCCCGAGCAUUGGAGUGCUAGUAUAUUUUGAACUGCAAAAACGUCUUAUAUAUUGGGACAGAGGUAGUACUAUCUAGACACUUCCAAGUCCUGAGAAAUGCAAGUUUGGCCUAAAUUGGGUACAUUUGUUUUCCCUCUUUUUUGCAGAUUGGGUGUAUUUGUUCUAACAAAACACAGCCAGCAUAUGCUGCUAGAAUUAAGGAUACCAAUCAUUAUUCCGUUUUAACUAUAGAGGGUAUAUGCCCUGUAGUGACAGCUAGUUGCAAGAACCAUGCCAGUGCACUGUACUCCAGGAGAAGAGUACAUGUUGGAGAAAUAACUGUAGACAAUUAUCUUGAAAAAGUUUCAUCAGCAAGAUUGUCUUAGCAACAAAAACCACAAGCAUUAUUCUGACCCACUAUUCGUGCCAUGCAUGCUGUCCGGGAAUUGGAAUGGUCGUAUAUGGCACCUUUAAUGAUACUACCUAGACAUUUCCUUGAGAUAUGAAGUUUAGUUGAAAAUGGGUAACUUUAUUAUGGCAUAUUUAUACUGAAGGGCCAGUAUAUAAUUGAAGAAUUUCCACAGCUUUUCACAGUUGGUUUGGUUCCAUGAUACUAUAACUGAAUUGGCAGAUGCCAACACCUACAACUCUUAAGCUCAAACAACACAGGGUUGCUAAAAAAUAGAAUGCUAAAUAUUAUUAGAUAGCCUUCUGUCUUGUUAUCAAAUUGGCGAUGCCAAAUGAUACUUAUUUGUCUUUGGCAAGAGGCUGAAUUUCAAAGGCCCAUGCGUUAAUCAUGAUUCAAUGAUUUGGACUUACUGUUAAAAAUAUCUGCCAAUUAAUCCCUGCUCGGUUGGUCACCAAGAUUAACAGAUUUAUCAGCCGAAGAAUUGGCCGAUUCGCCUACUAAUCCCCUACUCUCCAGCUUACCAAGAAGUUACCAGUUAAUGAUUUCCUGAACAUUAUUUUUUUUCAGUAGUUUAUAUAUGGAGGGAUCAAUCAAUGACAAAAGGUGUGUAUGUUAGUGCAGCAAAAGCAAAUGAAAACAGGGACACUUCUAGUUCAACCAAUGCUACCAUAGAAGCAUAUUUUAACUACAAAAUAAAUUUGCAUCACAUGAUCACAACAUAGAUUUCAGACUGAUUAUACACAAUUGUGUCACAACAUGUGUCAAGCUAAAGACAUGCAGAAGAAAAAACAUCUGCAAUUUUGUGAUUUAGGCCAAGGGAAGAAAAAACAUCUGCAAUUUUGUGAUUUAGGCCAAGGAACUAUUUCUGGGCAGGGAUAUAGGAAGGUACUGAUACUCUGUACCACAGCAUUACUCUAAACAUUUCUCAUUUUAAGGAAAAAAAAUCAACCUAUCAUGAUGUUCAAAUGAACCACGCACAUCAUGUUGCUAUCAUGGGCACCUUACAAGCUGAUGAAUAGGCAGCAAAUAGCAGCAUUUGUUUUUUUAGCGUACACCUCUAGAAAAUAAAGUGCAAUAACAGGACCAAUCAAUUCAGGAAUAGAACAUAAAAUUCCCAUAACAAAAAACUAAACACUAGAACAUGACAUGAUCAACCAUGGAAAGGCAAUUUAAUCAAUGUUUAGAGGGAUGAAAUCAGUUAUCAGACCCUUGUUCAGAUAGUACUUCAGCCUCAACUGCAGUAGGUUUCUUCCACACUCUGUCAGUACUCCUCUCCAGCACUUCGCCGUUCUCGUUCUCCUCGCCUUGGACUGGGGAAACCCUCCUCCCAGAGGACCUAACCUCAGGUGGUGCUUCACNNNNNNNNNNNNNNNNNNNNNNNNNNNNNNNNNNNNNNNNNNNNNNNNNNNNNNNNNNNNNNNNNNNNNNNNNNNNNNNNNNNNNNNNNNNNNNNNNNNNUGUGUGUGUGUGUGUGUGUGUGUGUGCUGUCUUUAGUACACACCCUCUUCCAUACACAUUUUCCUUUAACUAAAAUUAACUGCAACCUUUUCAGUUAACUCAAACAUUCAUUCUCUUCUCUGAACUGUUUGUUAUGUAAAACUGUCGUUGAUGAACUGUUGCUGCUAUGUCAAACUGUUGUUGUUGUAUGCUGCUACUACUGCAUUACUGUUUCUGCUGAUGUACUCAAUUAUUGUUUCUGCUAAUGUACUCAAUUACUGCUGAUGGAGUAUGUCAAAUUGCUGCUGCUAUGAAACAGUUUGAGUCAAAUUGAUGCUACUGCUGCUGCUACUCGAUUACUGCUUCUGGUCUUCUCAAUUACUCAAGUGAUCAAUUGAUUUGCAGGAGAAGGAGCAACAGCCAUGGAGUACUCCAGGAGCAGAUCAUGCCCAAAGGGACCACACCCAGGAGAUGGUCGUGGAUCAAACUGCUGCGCCCCGGGGCUGGUGCUUGUGAUGAGCGACGAGGAGAAGCAGGGACCUGGGAGCGCAUGGAUGAUGGAUGCGCGAAGGAUGAGCGCCUUGGACCUAGAUGAUGGAUUCGCCUGGGGCCUGGGAGCGACGGAGGAUGGACGCCUGGGAGUGCCGAGGAGAAGCGAUUUGAAAUCCUAGGAGCAAAGGGGGAAGACGACGAUGGGGAUAGCGAUUCAAAACAGGGGUAGCGUUGUAAAUUCCUUCAUUUCAAAACAGGGCCUCGAAAUGUUCUCUUCAACGCCAUAUAUUUCAAAACGGUGGGAGCAGUUUCAUGCCUAUAUUGAGCACCAUUGUGUCUCGCUCCCAUCACAAUUGAAUAUUUCUCCAUUGUAUUGUUAUCGUAUAUGAAUACGCAUGAUAAACCUGGAUUACUAUCGAUGCUUCAAAACAU